CCUACGGGUGGCAGCAGUGAGGAAUAUUGGUCAAUGGACGGAAGUCUGAACCAGCCAUGUCGCGUGCAGGAUGACGGCCCUAUGGGUUGUAAACUGCUUUUGUACAAGGGUAAAGCUCACUACGUGUAUUCAUUUGCAAGUACCGUACGAAUAAGGAUCGGCUAACUCCGUGCCAGCAGCCGCGGUAAUACGGAGGAUCCGGGCGUUAUCCGGAUUUAUUGGGUUUAAAGGGUGCGUAGGCGGAUUGUUAAGUUAGAGGUGAAAUGUCCGGGCUUAACCCGGGCCGUGCAUUUAAUACUGGCGAUCGUGAGUGUGGGAGCGGUAGGCGGAAUGCGUGGUGUAGCGGUGAAAUGCUUAGAGAUCACGCAGAACACCGAUUGCGAAGGCAGCUUACCGAUGUAUAACUGACGCUGAUGCACGAAAGCGUGGGUAUCGAACAGGAUUAGAUACCCGUGUAGUC
RNAcentral lists this ribosomal RNA (460 nucleotides) under uncultured bacterium. RNAcentral's name for it is "partial 16S ribosomal RNA". It matches the Rfam family "Bacterial small subunit ribosomal RNA", at positions 338 to 795 of the family's 1533-position model. The record is from RNAcentral.